GAUGAAGAACGCAGCGAAAUGCGAUAAGUAAUGUGAAUUGCAGAAUUCAGUGAAUCAUCGAAUCUUUGAACGCACAUUGCGCCCGCCAGUAUUCUGGCGGGCAUGCCUGUUCGAGCGUCAUUUCAACCAUCAAGCCCCAGGCUUGUGUUGGGGACCUGCGGCUGCCGCAGGCCCUGAAAACCAGUGGCGGGCUCGCUGUCACACCGGGCGUAGUAGAUUUUAUCUCGCUCAGGGCGUGCUGCGGGUUCCGGCCGUUAAAAAGCCUUUUUUACCCAAGGUUGACCUCGGAUCAGGUAGGAAGACCCGCUGAACUUAAGCAUACAAUAAGCGGAGGA
RNAcentral lists this unclassified non-coding RNA (335 nucleotides) under soil metagenome. Its description in RNAcentral is "partial contains 5.8S ribosomal RNA, internal transcribed spacer 2, and large subunit ribosomal RNA". The stretch from base 1 to 120 matches the Rfam family "5.8S ribosomal RNA", at positions 35 to 154 of the family's 154-position model. The record is from RNAcentral.